UACGUAGGGUGCAAGCGUUAUCCGGAAUUAUUGGGCGUAAAGAGCUCGUAGGCGGUUUGUCGCGUCUGCUGUGAAAACUGGAGGCUCAACCUCCAGCCUGCAGUGGGUACGGGCAGACUAGAGUGCGGUAGGGGAGAUUGGAAUUCCUGGUGUAGCGGUGGAAUGCGCAGAUAUCAGGAGGAACACCGAUGGCGAAGGCAGAUCUCUGGGCCGUAACUGACGCUGAGGAGCGAAAGCAUGGGGAGCGAAACAGG
This 254-nucleotide ribosomal RNA is filed under the name uncultured bacterium. RNAcentral's name for it is "partial 16S ribosomal RNA". It matches the Rfam family "Bacterial small subunit ribosomal RNA", at positions 524 to 776 of the family's 1533-position model. The record is from RNAcentral.